UAUAAAAAGGAAAACCAUGAAAAUCAUUUCAGAGACCUGGAGACUAAAAUGAGAAAUGCCAGAUCAAUUGAAGCAGAGUUCCAGAGAAGAGAGUAAGAAGAACACCAAAUAGCACUACUGAGAAAAGGAUGGAAAUUUUUUCCAUAAUUGAAGAUAUGUGAUGAAGCUCCCUGUAUCAUGACAGGAUAAGUAAAAAAUAAAUCCAUACCUAGGCCCCUCAGAAUAAAAUGCAGAAUAUCAAAGACAAAGGGAAGAUACCAGAGCCACACGUGUGGAUAAGACCCGGCUGUCGAGAAAACUGCAGCAGAUGUGGAGAGCAGGUCACAGUGGAAUCAGAAUUCGAAUCUCUUCUGCUGGCCUCCAUACUUCCAGCUGCACUCCAUGCCUCCAAGCCCAGAACUAGAGAAGUAGCAGAAGGAAUAGGAAGGAGGGCACAGAUAUGAGGAUGCUCCCAAAGAACAGAAUUUGGAACUAAGAGUCAGCCUCUGUCCAGUUCAGACGGGACAAGACCGCCAACCCACCAACUGUGCCUGCUCAGGUGUCCAGUAGGUGAACUCCUGACUUUAGGGAACUAAACAUUCCACCCUCGGAUCAUGCUAAUGCCACCAUUUUGUGACCAUGCAUCCUGUGAAGAGCCAUGAAGCCUGGCUACACUUGUGCAGAUCAACAAUUACCUCACUCCUCCUUGCCUCCAACCAUCUGUCACCAUACUUUAGACAACUUUGCCAGAUUAUCCCAUAAAUAUCCCUAAUCCCCAUUUUUUGGAGAAGCAGAUUUGGGAUUUGUUCUCCUGCCUCCUCACUU
Equus quagga is the source of this 804-nucleotide long non-coding RNA. RefSeq lists it as uncharacterized. The transcript has 3 exons. Lineage: Eukaryota; Metazoa; Chordata; Mammalia; Perissodactyla; Equidae. The record is from RefSeq and is a predicted model, not a curated record.